Molecule: ribosomal RNA, 444 nt
Filed under: uncultured bacterium
Lineage: Bacteria
Description: bacterial SSU rRNA
Rfam family: Bacterial small subunit ribosomal RNA
Source: RNAcentral
GCCAGACUCCUACGGGAGGCAGCAGUGGGGAAUAUUGCACAAUGGGGGAAACCCUGAUGCAGCGACGCCGCGUGGGUGAAGAAGUAAUUCGUUACGUAAAGCCCUAUCAGCAGGGAAGAAAAUGACGGUACCUGAGUAAGAAGCCCCGGCUAACUACGUGCCAGCAGCCGCGGUAAUACGGAGGAUGCGAGCGUUAUCCGGAUUUAUUGGGUUUAAAGGGUGCGUAGGCGGGUUAUCAAGUCAGCGGUAAAAUCGUGGAGCUCAACUCCAUCCAGCCGUUGAAACUGAUGAUCUUGAGUGGGCGAGAAGUGUGCGGAAUGCGUGGUGUAGCGGUGAAAUGCAUAGAUAUCACGCAGAACUCCGAUUGCGAAGGCAGCAUACCGGCGCCCGACUGACGCUGAAGCACGAAAGCGUGGGUAUCGAACAGGAUUAGAUACCCGAGUA